This 438-nucleotide long non-coding RNA is filed under the name Actinidia chinensis (golden kiwifruit). RNAcentral describes it as "long non-coding RNA (ACHI_LNC003586)". Lineage: Eukaryota; Viridiplantae; Streptophyta; Magnoliopsida; Ericales; Actinidiaceae. The record is from RNAcentral.
AAGAACCUCCCCAAACGGGCCCCCCUAAAUGUUCUCUAGCCAUUCUUUAAAACUGAGCUAAAGAUCGACAACUCCAUAAAAUAUUCUUAUAUAAAUUUAUGGGUGUGAACUUUUGUAAUUGUCAAAUAAUCUUAUGGUAAAAAUUUUAGCAUAUUACAAGAGAUUUUUUUUUUUUAAAUUAGGAGUAUUAAUGAAAGCUUUUUCAAUAUUUGAUUAGUGAUUCUAUCACUAUCAAAAAAAUGUUUUUGACUUUUCCACUAACAUUGGUUUGUGACAGCUGCUCAAUUUGCUGGAGGUUGAGCUGGUGACAGUUAGACAGCAUUCAUUUGAGCAUUUACUAGCAACCUACACACGUGUGGAAAUUAUUUUUUUUUUAUAACUUAGGCUAUUUGGUAAUGCUUAAAAACCAAAUUUUUUUUAAGUUUGCUAUUAAAAGAC